GAUAAGGUGGCUGAAUUUAGGCUAUAAAUUGUAAAUUUAUGUAUGAGGUUGACUCUCUUAUCA
This 63-nucleotide transfer RNA is filed under the name Micronecta sahlbergii. Its description in RNAcentral is "tRNA-Tyr". Lineage: Eukaryota; Metazoa; Arthropoda; Insecta; Hemiptera; Micronectidae. The record is from RNAcentral.